AACGAACGCUGGCGGCAGGCUUAACACAUGCAAGUCGAACGCCCUCUUCGGAGGGAGUGGCAGACGGGUGAGUAACACGUGGGAAUCUACCUAUCGGUAAGGAACAACACAUAGAAAUGUGUGCUAAUACCUUAUACGUCCUCAGGGAGAAAGAUUUAUCGCCGAUAGAUGAGCCCGCGUUUGAUUAGCUAGUUGGUGAGGUAAUGGCUCACCAAGGCGACGAUCAAUAGCUGGUCUGAGAGGAUGAUCAGCCACACUGGGACUGAGACACGGCCCAGACUCCUACGGGAGGCAGCAGUGGGGAAUAUUGGACAAUGGGCGCAAGCCUGAUCCAGCCAUGCCGCGUGUGUGAUGAAGGCCCUAGGGUUGUAAAGCACUUUCAACGGUGAAGAUAAUGACGGUAACCGUAGAAGAAGCCCCGGCUAACUUCG
Molecule: ribosomal RNA, 431 nt
Filed under: uncultured Phyllobacteriaceae bacterium
Lineage: Bacteria; Pseudomonadati; Pseudomonadota; Alphaproteobacteria; Hyphomicrobiales; Phyllobacteriaceae
Description: bacterial SSU rRNA
Rfam family: Bacterial small subunit ribosomal RNA
Source: RNAcentral